Molecule: long non-coding RNA, 1062 nt
Organism: Mastomys coucha (southern multimammate mouse)
Lineage: Eukaryota; Metazoa; Chordata; Mammalia; Rodentia; Muridae
Exons: 5
Source: RefSeq, a predicted model, not a curated record
UGUCAUAGAAGUUGGUCUCCGAUCCAGAGUCUCUGGCAUUCUCUGUCGGGAGUUCAGGAGCUGUUGCUCGGAAGAGCCCACAAUCCCUGGCCUUCUCAUCUUUUUCAGGCAUUGACUUCUUGGACUCCUGCUCCUCCAGCAGUGAUACAAAGAUUCUGUAUGGGGAUUACUAGGCUCCAUAAAGGCACACUGAUCUUCAGGUAAUCUAUCAACAGGUUCAGGCUGAGCAGGUCUGGAGACUCUCAAGCACUUUUUGUAUCCACAGUCCCAGAAAGAAUCAUAUGAUGCUGUGGGGGAAAGCAGGUUGACAGGAAACAAGAGUCAGUAGUCUGGCUUCUCUUCACUAGUGCAUCAAUGGUCUCUAUCAGGCCUUUAACUCUACAAACCUCACACAAGAGAUUUACUGGGAGAGAAGAACCCAGGAAUGUGGCUGCCUUGCUGAGUGAUAAGCAGCAGAAAAUUCUCUUAUCCUAGAGACAGAAUGGAGGUGCCGGAUGCAUGGACAACAUCUAAGGCAACCAGGUCUGAGAAAGGAAGAGCAUCCCUCCUGAAGGCCUUAGGGAAAUGCUAUGGAGGAGCAGACUGGAGAGUGGGGCAGCAGCACAGAGUUCAUAAAGAAGGGCAUUAGGCUUGUUACAAUUACAUUACGUGGGAAGAUGUAGCAGAGAGAAGAAAAUACUUGUGCACUUCAGGCAUUGCAGUUUUCUGGAGCUUCGUGUAGUCAUGCUUGGCAUGACUGGGACACCCCAGGAGAAUCUGCAGGGCUGGUCAAGAUCUUAUGUGAAUUGAGACUGAUUCUGUGUUAAAAGAGCAAUGUUUUACAUUGGGAUGUUACACUGGAAAGCCUCCUGAAGACAUUAUUUAGAAUGAAAACAAAAUUAGGGAGACAAAAUCCUCAUGAAAUGUGGACUUUCUUCCUGAAAAGCCUACAGAUCCAGAUGAACUCUUAGCUCCUUCUUCAGCACCAUGGAUACCUGCUCACUGCCAUGUUCCCGAAAGUGAUAAUGAAAUAAACUUCGGAACCUGUAAGCCAGCCCUAAUUAAAUGAUUUCCUUCAUAAGA